Molecule: long non-coding RNA, 524 nt
Organism: Cucumis melo (muskmelon)
Lineage: Eukaryota; Viridiplantae; Streptophyta; Magnoliopsida; Cucurbitales; Cucurbitaceae
Exons: 4
Source: RefSeq, a predicted model, not a curated record
AUCAAAGAAAGAAACGAUUCCUCUUCUUAAACUGAGCAAAGAAAGAAACGAAAGUAGGAUCAACCUGCGGAGUCCUUUCUUUCUAGAAAACACGGAAUGAUGCAGCCAUUUAAUCAUAGAACAGAACGAUAUUAUUUUCUUAGUGUCCUUUAACAAUUCUUUGCACACAUAAAUUGAAAUAUUGUUUGUACUUGUUGUUGUCCUAGUUCUCUUUAGUGUUACAUUUGAGGAUGUAAAUGUAACCAACAUUUUCAUUCUUGCAGAAGCUGAAGCUUGUGGUAAUGAAACAAAUGAGUCUCUUGAUGCCAAAGCUAACAGCGCGUUGGAAUGCCCUUACAUAGCUGACUUGCGUAGAGUUUUUCUUAGUUCUUUGAGGUUUCAAGGAUCAAUUUGUGCAGUUGAUCUAAGACAGUAGAAUCUGCAAGUGUUGAGGUGCUACAAAUGCUCCAAUCUAGAAAUGCAAUAACAAAAUAUUUCACCCUUUAAUCACUCAAUCAUAUUAUAUGGCUUCAUAACAAUGUUUG